This 345-nucleotide unclassified non-coding RNA is filed under the name soil metagenome. RNAcentral's name for it is "partial contains 5.8S ribosomal RNA, internal transcribed spacer 2, and large subunit ribosomal RNA". The stretch from base 1 to 120 matches the Rfam family "5.8S ribosomal RNA", at positions 35 to 154 of the family's 154-position model. The record is from RNAcentral.
GAUGAAGAACGUAGUGAAAUGCGAUACGUAAUGUGAAUUGCAGAAUUCAGUGAAUCAUCGAGUCUUUGAACGCACAUUGCGCCCCCUGGUAUUCCGGGGGGCAUGCCUGUCCGAGCGUCAUUGCUGCCCUCAAGCACGGCUUGUGUGUUGGGCCUCCGUCCUCCUCCCGGGGGACGGGCCCGAAAGGCAGCGGCGGCACCGCGUCCGGUCCUCGAGUGUAUGGGGCUUCGUCACCCGCUCUUGUAGGCCCGGCCGGCGCUUGCCGACACAUCAAUCUUUUUUCCAGGUUGACCUCGGAUCAGGUAGGGAUACCCGCUGAACUUAAGCAUAUCAAUAAGCGGAGGA